GACCCAGAGCUCACACUGGAAGCCUGGACAUUCUGCAUUGAAACAUGAUUAGAACAAGACUUGUCAGUGCUCAACUAGAAGAGCUGCCAAAUACAUCAUCAUCUCUCAUUCGCUAUGACCCAGGUGCUGUCAGCCCAAACUGACUGUUUUCAGUAAAAUGAAAAAAUCAUGUUGGAUCCCUGACCUGGUGACUGAGCUUGCUGAGGGAAUGCCAUGUGAGUCCCUGGAGCUGGAGCCCAGUCACUGCCAGGGUGCGACAUCGCCCGCAGCAGCUGCUGCUGCCCUGAGCCAGAGCAGCCCUGCGAAGCAGAUGAGCUGCAGCCAGGGCUCAGGCAGCAGGAGAGGAGCCAAAAGGAGAAACCCAUACACGCCAAAAUUCAAGUACACAACUGCUGCCAUGGAAUAGGUUGGACUAAACUUGAAUUAAUAAAGAAACAUCUCUGGAUA
Non-coding RNA from Coturnix japonica (Japanese quail), 447 nucleotides. The record is from RefSeq and is a predicted model, not a curated record. Lineage: Eukaryota; Metazoa; Chordata; Aves; Galliformes; Phasianidae.